RNAcentral lists this unclassified non-coding RNA (308 nucleotides) under uncultured fungus. Its description in RNAcentral is "sequence contains ITS1". The stretch from base 1 to 106 matches the Rfam family "5.8S ribosomal RNA", at positions 50 to 154 of the family's 154-position model. The record is from RNAcentral. Lineage: Eukaryota; Fungi.
GAAAUGCGAUACUUGGUGUGAAUUGCAGAAUUCAGUGAAUCAUCAAAUCUUUGAACGCAAAUUGCGCUCUUGGGAUAUGCCUGAGAGCAUGCCUUUUUGAGUAUCGGAUAUAUCUACUCCAAACUAUCAACUUGUUUUGAUAGACUGGGACACUGAGAGUUCUUGUGUUACAGCAAGAUCUUUUGAAGUAGAGUGAGCUCUGCUAAGUACAUAUUCAUAAGUUUGUGUGCUGAAACCACAGUGCGAAAGCUAACGCUUUCCAUAACUAAGUGACGUGGGUAAACCCAUUAAACGUCUGCUUGUUAUCA